UUUCACUUUGGUUUCUGAUAACUAAACUGACACUGUUUAUCUACAUAACUAAUUAAGAAGAGUUCAUGAGUGCUCGAAUGAAUCUUCAUGUUCAAAAGGUAAAUUAUAUAUCUAUUCAAAUCAAAUUAUGAGGUAUGUGCUGUAGUUAUGUUGUUGGGCCCUCUUCUUGUACUUUAUUUUUAAAAAUGAAGAAAAAAAAUGUUAAAUAAUUCAUCUCAUGCAAGAUUACAACAUAAAUGAAUAAACAAGAUGAUGUCAAACUCAUUUUUUGUUUUAUUGUGUUUGCUUGUAUGUGAUUGUCAUUAAUGUAUUGCUGCUUCUAUGUAGAUUGGUAUUCAUUACACAUAAAUUGUGGUGGGAAAAAAUCACUGUUGCAAAUGUAGAGUAUGAAGAGGAUGAAGACAUAGCUGGUCUAGCGAAAUUUUAUUAUGUGGAGAAUUGGGGAUUCAGUAGCACUGAUUGUUUUUGGGAUGUUGACACUGUCUCAAAUGACUAUUUAGCAACUAAUGAAUCCAUACUUACAAUGGACAAUUCCCAAAUAGACACAAGUGCACGACUAUCUCCUCUUUCGAUCAUAUAUUAUGCCCACUGCUUAGUGAAUGGAAAUUAUACCGUGAAACUUCACUUUGCAGAGGAUUUGAUUACACAAGUUCACAUAUUAAUGUAUAUACACAAGUUCACAAGCAAUAGAUCUUCUUACAGUCUUGGGAAGCGGAUAUUUGAUGUUUAUAUCUAGGUACUCUGACAUUUAUUUUUCUUUUUAGGUUAUAGUAGAGGAUUUGAUUGAUUCAAUUUGCUGCAGGAAAACUGGCAUUGAAAGAUUUUAAUAUUGAAAAUGAUGCCCAAGGGCUUGAUCAAGCAGCCUUUAAGAAUUUUACAGCUGUUGUUAUGAAUAAAAUUUUGAUGAUUCGGUUUCAUUGGGCUGGGAAAGGAACAACAGCUGCCCCAAAGAGAGGGAUAUAUUGUCCUCCUGUGUCAGCUAUCUUUGUUGAAUCUGAUUUCAGUCCCCUUGUUGAUGGCAAAGGUUGUGGUUGGAGCUAUAGUUCUAGUGCUACUCCUCAUUUUUGUGAUUUUAUGCAUUCUUUGGUGGAAGGGCUGUAUGGGAGGGAGGAUAUCAAGGGAAAAAGGUACUGCAGGUGACCGAUUAAAAUUGGAUUGGCUUGCAAGGCAGAAAAUAUGUGUUGGCAUAACAAGAGGUCUGGCUCUCUUACAUGAGGAAUCAAUACUAAAAAUUGUUCAUAGAGAAUCUAUUACUUGAUGGUGACUUUAAUCCUAAGAUCUCUAACUUUGGUUUGGGCUAGUUUAUGAAGAGGAGAAUACCCACAUCAGCACUAGAAUUUCUGGAACCAUGGUUAGGUCUCCUCACCCACGCCGCCUGUAGAAUUUCAGGAUUCAUGGAAUGGGCAGAUGGGAGCAAGUCGGGAGCAAGUCUGGUGUGGGGACUCAACCACAAGAUUAACAUGUGUCAAGCAAAUCUGAGAAAUUGGAAUCGUACCUCAUUUGGUCAUGUCCGUAAUCUUUUAUCCAAAAAACUCGGAAUUAAAGUUGGCUGAGGAACUAGAUGGGUACCUAACCAAUCCCACCUGUAUCUAUCAGCUUCAGGAUGAUAUUGAAAUGCUCAAGUCAAAAGAAGAGUGUAUGUGGAAGCAAAGGUCCCGAAAUACUUGGCUGAAAGAAGGUGAUCACUACACAAGAGGAAUUAUAUUCUGGGUUUGAAUGAUGAAACUGGUGUUUGGGUAGAGGAGGAAGAUCAGUUGGGAAAUUUGGUGGAAAAAUAUUUUCAGGAUAUGUCACCACUUCAAAUCCAUUGGCUUUGAUGAUAUUCUCAAUGGUAUCCAGCCAAUAGUGACAACAGAGAUGAAUGAGGCAUUGACCCGCGAGUUUAGAUCUGAGGAAGUGCAGCACAAAUAGCUCCUCUCAUUGCACCUGGACUUGACUCGAUGUCACAUAGUGGGUGAACUUCCACAGUCCUUCAUGCUCUGAAUAUAGGUACUGUCCAUGAAUCUUUCAACUACACUUUCAUUUCCCUUAUCCCCAAAAUUAAGAAUCCCAAGAGAGUAGUAGAUUUUAGACCAUUAGUCUAUGCAAUGUAAUUUACAAGUUAAUUGCUAAGGUGUUGGUAAACCGGAUGAAAUCGAUCCUACCAAAUGUUGUUCAUGAUUCUCAAAGUGCUUUCUUGUUUGGAAGGCUUAUCACUGAUAAUGUUCUUGUAGCAUUUGAGACCCUGCACUAUUUAAAAAGAAAGACCCAAGGAAAAUUAGGUUUCAUGGCCCUUAAACUUGACAUGAGGAAAGCCUAUGACUGGGUGGUAUGGGUUUUCUUGGAAAAAUCAUGCGACAUUUAGGUUUUGUAGAUGUACAUGUUAUACUGAUCAUGUCUUGUCUCUCUUUAGUUUCCUAUUCUGUAUUGCUUAAUGGUCAACUUGUAGGAAAUAUAAAACCUAACAGAGGACUCAAACAAGGUGAUCAGUUGUCUUCUUACCUAUUUUUACUAUGUGCUAUGGUUUGCAAGGUUUAUUGAAAAAAGUUGAGGUAGAUGAUGAUAUCAAGGGGGUUUCUAUUUGUCGCAACGGGCCUCGGGUUUCACACUUGUUUUUUUGUAGAUGAUAGUGUCCUAUUUUGCUAGACAAAAGAGAUUGAGUGCCAGAAAAUUCUUGGAGUUUUUAGAGGUCUAUGAAAGGGUUCGGGGCAGAAAAUAAACAGAGAUAAGACCAAUAUUUUCUUUAGUUCAAACACUCAGCAUGACUUGCAGGUUCAAAUCCAACAUCUACUUGGUGUCCCAACUAUUCGUCAAUAUGAAAAAUAUUUGGGGCUUCCAGCUUUGGUGGGGAGAGCGAGGAAACAAAACUUCUUCUAUCUCAAAGAAAGGAUUUGGAGGAAGCUACAACAUUGGAAGGAAAAAAAUAUUUCUCAACCAGGUAGGGAGGUUCUCAUUAAAUCAGUAAUACAAGGUUCUCACUAAAUCAGUAAUAUAGGCCAUACCAACCUAUACUAUGAGUUGGUUCAAAUUCCCUAAGGAUUUAGUGAAGGAGUUGGAAGUAAUUAAUUCACAAAUUUUGGUGGGUUAUAAUGGAGAUAUUAGAAAAAAUUCAUCGGAUGAGCUGGGAGAGGCUGUGUGAAGCAAAGGAAGUGGGUGGAAUGGGUUUUAAGGAAAUUGAAAAGUUUAAUGAUGCGUUGCUAGCUAAACAAGUGUGGCGUAUGAUUUUUUCUGGAUUGCUCCGUACUUGAUGCUAAAGAGUCUACUAUUGGUUCAUAUGGUUGGAAGAGUAUUUUAAGUGCACGAGAUGUUAUUCAAAAAUGCAUGGUAUGGCAGAUAGGGAAUGGUCAAUCGAUUCGAUUGAGAGAAGAUAUAGAUGGAUCCCAAUACAAUGUAACACAGUUUCUGUAUCGCAGCUGCCUUCAAUCCAAACCGAAACUAAGGUUAGCUCUCUCAUUAAUUCUGAUCUUGGUAUCUGGAAAUCGGAAUUGGUAGAGCAGCUAUUUUUGCCCCAUGAAGCUUCUUGUAUCUUGAAUACUCCACUAAGCCCAAGAUUACCCCUUGACAGAAUUAUAUGGGCUCCCACCUCAACUGGUUGUUACUCGGCUAGCAGUGCUUACAAAUUACUAGUUUCUUGUGAUUCCUCUAACAUUGCAAGCAGCUCAAAUCUAGCAUCAAGUAAGCAGUUUUGGAAAGGGUUAUGAAAUUUGAGAGUUCCCAAUAAGAUUAAGCACUUUGCCUGGCGUGCAUGUAACAAUGCUUUGCCAACAAUGGCUAAUCUUCAUCGACGACACAUUUAUCCUGAAUGGUAUCUGUGAGAUUUGCAAGGUUGAACCUGAAGACCAGAUUCAUGCUCUAUGGUCAUGUAAAGAAGUUGAAGCUGUAUGUGGCUCUUUCCAAUGGGCUCACCAUGCUGCCUCCCCAUCCCCUGUGAAUUUUGCAGAUCUACUAGCUAACUUUAUGCAGGUUCACGAGGACUUCAGGAAAGAAAUCUUCAUUCUUUGUGCGUGGUGUUUAUGGAAUCGUCAAAACUCCCGACCGCUUGGUGUAAUCAUUAGAGAUAGCAACGAAGAUGUAAUUGGUGCUCUAUUUAUGCCAAUCCCACUUUCUCAAUCGGUGGCAGAAUUGGAGGCUCUUGCUUGUCGACGGGCAGUGCAAUUUGCGUUGGAAAUAGGCUUACGGAGGGUGACAUUUGAAGGUGAAUCGGUGACUGUCAUUAAUGCAAUUGUUCGUGGGUCUCCAGAAUUUUUGCCGUAUGGGAAUGUCAUUGAUGACAUUCGGUUUCAAGUUUCAGGUUCACUUUCUCAAAAAAAAAAAAAUAAGUUUCAGGUUUUCAAUUUUUAGAUUUUUGUCAUGUUAAACGCAAUUGUAAUAUUGUGGUUGAUACUCUAGCAAAAAAGGCUAAACAUUGUGUGGGGCUGUAGGUCUGGUUGGAAGACCUACUUGAGGACAUUACCCCAUUAGAGCAUCUCCAGGAGCAUGGCUAUCCGGGUAUAUUAGUUAUAAUAUAGAGAAUAUGUGCACUGUGGAUGCUUCAGCGGAUUCGGCAAAGUCAGU
Molecule: long non-coding RNA, 4533 nt
Organism: Quercus robur (English oak)
Lineage: Eukaryota; Viridiplantae; Streptophyta; Magnoliopsida; Fagales; Fagaceae
Exons: 4
Source: RefSeq, a predicted model, not a curated record